Long non-coding RNA from Dermacentor andersoni, 511 nucleotides. RefSeq lists it as uncharacterized. Lineage: Eukaryota; Metazoa; Arthropoda; Arachnida; Ixodida; Ixodidae. The record is from RefSeq and is a predicted model, not a curated record.
GAUAUAUCAAGCAGUCUGUUGCCUCGAAUGUUACAUUCGCAGAGGGAAAUUUGACGAAGCUUUGAACGACAGGACUAGAAGAGGUCAGUGCAACGUUCAAGACCAAAACGAAAAGCAGACGCAAUGAAGUUCGACAUGGCUUUGACGUUACUUCUGUUGGCUCUUGUACCGUUUGUUGACGGCGGCGGUUCAUCUCCCGAGCGUAAUAACAGACGAUCAGAAGCCGUUGUGCAUGCAUGAGGGACACCGCACCACAGUAUUGUUUUGUUUGUUCUACAAUAACAAAACUAACCUCUACAAUAAUAGUUGCGAAUACGAUACCAACGCUGAUGCCGUAAUAGCUGAGUCUUACUGGAGUGGAAGCCGGAAACGGGGAUGUAGAAGUUCACAAUAUAACCAUAGUAUUUGUGCCUGCACGCCGUGGUUAUAGGAGAGCUUGGAUCUUUACAACGCCAUGCAUUUUCAAUGGUGAUGGAAGUAGAUGGCGAGAAAAUAAAAGAUUGUAAAAGUG